UACGAGAGGCUCAAACGUUAUUCGGAAUCACUGGGCUUAAAGAGUUCGUAGGCGGUCUAGAAAGUUGGGUGUGAAAGCCCUCGGCCUAACCGAGGAACUGCGCUCAAAACUACUAGACUUGAGGAAGAUAGAGGUAAGCGGAACUGAUGGUGGAGCGGUGAAAUGCGUUGAUAUCAUCAGGAACACCGGAGGCGAAGGCGGCUUACUGGGUCUUUUCUGACGCUGAGGAACGAAAGCUAGGGGAGCAAACGGG
RNAcentral lists this ribosomal RNA (253 nucleotides) under uncultured bacterium. Its description in RNAcentral is "partial 16S ribosomal RNA". It matches the Rfam family "Bacterial small subunit ribosomal RNA", at positions 524 to 776 of the family's 1533-position model. The record is from RNAcentral.